GAUGAACGCUGGCGGCGUGCCUAAUACAUGCAAGUCGAGCGAACAGACGAGGAGCUUGCUCCUCUGACGUUAGCGGCGGACGGGUGAGUAACACGUGGAUAACCUACCUAUAAGACUGGGAUAACUUCGGGAAACCGGAGCUAAUACCGGAUAAUAUAUUGAACCGCAUGGUUCAAUAGUGAAAGACGGUUUUGCUGUCACUUAUAGAUGGAUCCGCGCCGCAUUAGCUAGUUGGUAAGGUAACGGCUUACCAAGGCAACGAUGCGUAGCCGACCUGAGAGGGUGAGCGGCCACACUGGAACUGAGACACGGUCCAGACUCCUACGGGAGGCAGCAGUAGGGAAUCUUUCGCAAUGGGCGAAAGCCUGAAGGAGCAACGCCGCGUGAGUGAUGAAGGUCUUCGGAUCGUAAAACUCUGUUAUUAGGGAAGAACAAAUGUGUAAGUAACUAUGCACGUCUUGACGGUACCUAAUCAGAAAGCCACGGCUAACUACGUG
This 497-nucleotide ribosomal RNA is filed under the name uncultured bacterium. RNAcentral describes it as "partial 16S ribosomal RNA". It matches the Rfam family "Bacterial small subunit ribosomal RNA", at positions 28 to 507 of the family's 1533-position model. The record is from RNAcentral.